Heterocephalus glaber (naked mole-rat) is the source of this 3059-nucleotide non-coding RNA. The record is from RefSeq and is a predicted model, not a curated record. Lineage: Eukaryota; Metazoa; Chordata; Mammalia; Rodentia; Bathyergidae.
AGGAUUACAUAAGAUGAUGCAUAGAAAACAAGUUCUGUGACCAGAGAAUAAGUAUCUUAAAAGAGUGUCUUUGCUUCUUUCUGAUCAUUCUUUGGUCCACCCACCUACCGAUCCCAUUCCGAUUGCCAUUUAGACAAAUGUACAUGUCAGUUAGCCUCUCUAUCUGUCUCUUCAACCUACCUUACCUAUCCAAUCCAUCCACCCAUCCAUCCAUCCUCUAUUACCUAUCUCAUUUACUCACCUUUUCUUGCUUUCUACUCCUCUUUUCUGUCUUUUGUUAUGCGUAAUCAUUUUCUACCUUGCCAUCAGCCAUACCACUACCACUGUCUCCACUUUCUUUCCCACACAGGAAAGUCAAAGCAUUUUCAUCAAGGCACUUGGGAAAAAGUGUUCCGAACAGUUGAGCCUGCAGGCGUUGGAUGCUAUUGUCUUCCUACUAUGAGUCUGGCUUCAUCGUCUACCACUUUCCUCUUCCUCGAAGAUGACUGGUGCUUCUCAGAGCUGACCUUUCCAGACCCUUCCAACAUGUUGUAGGAGUCCUCUGGCCCAGUGAGAUGGGCACUGCUCUCUGUCCAAUGCAGCAGGGACAUCUGCAGCCACCUUGGCCACACGCACCAAUACUGAUGCUUGUAGGUUCUCUUGAAUAGACUGCUGACAUUCCCGUGUGGUUCACAUUUACCUGGGGUGCACCUGAGUUCUUGUUACUGUCUAGAAGUCGGGCUGUGAAGACCUCCAAAGUCAUGAAUUGGCACUGCCUGUGUUGAUCUUCAGUCUCACAACUCCAUCAGCCAGAAUCAACUCAAACAAUUAUUUUUAUUAUGUGUGUUGUAGAACUGCCCUGAACUACGGGCCUGUGAAGAACAUCUGAGGCUAGAUGCUGGGGAGCUGCAGAGCAGCUGCCCACGUGGGCUGCACUUAGGAGCUCUGUCUCCAGCUGUGUCUGGGAUUGUGUGACUUCAGCAGCUCCCAUGGAGGGGAAACUCGCCAGCCUCCUGCCUGAUGUCUAACAGACAGCAAAUGAGUGCAGGGCCUCUGGGAAGAGACUUGCCUGAAUUCCUGCCAAGGAAGCUGCAGAAUGGAAAGUGGGGUAUGAAUAUGUAACAGCAGCCACUGUCAGUUGAUCCCUCUGUCUUUGGGAGGCAUCAUUUCAUUCGCUGUGGAAGAACAGAGGGCACUUUGAAAUGGCCUGAGAUAGGCCUCUUUAGCGAUACAGUUUAAUCCGAUCAUAGAGCAUCUGUCUUGGAUGACAUCGUCUUCAGUGCUGAUUCAGGAGUUUUCAACAAAUUCAAAUGUCCUUCCCUUGCCCAGGAAGGAAGAUGGGGAAAGAUUGCAAGAAAGCCAGAAGCCCUGCAUGGUGUUGUACAUUUAUUAUCCAGCCCUUCAAGCACUCUGAAAAAAUAAUGUCCCCAAUGUUGUCCAGCGGGCCACAGGUUAUAAAAUAUAUGAAAGCAGAAGCCAUCCUGCCAUGGUACCCAGAAGAAAGUAUCCUGGUCAUCGUGGAAGGAAUGAGUGAAGGACAAUGUGAUUCUGCAGCAGUCAUUUUAGCUCUUUUAGAUUUCACCCCAAAGCAGAGGCAGAGGAAGGUAAUGGGUUGGUGUAAAUACUAUUUAGAGCACUUUUCAUCUCUUGGCAGUUUUGGAUAGAACAACCUUAAACGAAAAGAGCAAAAUAAUCAAGGAUGAGGAAAAAUGAUUGUCCAGGAUACACAGACACAUGAGUCUUGUCAACCUCAAGAGAUCAUUGAGAAAACCAAAUGAUUCAAGACAUGGCUAUUUUUCCAGACUGGGAUGGAAGAGAAAACAAACGUACCACAUGCACCAUGAUACCAGCAACAGCAGAGAGCACAAACAUCUUAUGGAUGCAGCAAAUGAGGCUGGGUGGUGAGGCCCAGGCAAGCCGGAAGGUUGGACACCCACACUUUACAGUAACAUCAACCAAGCAUUGCCAGAGGCUCUCCUGGAAUCCCCCUACAGGGGUUUCUGCUUCUGUGAUUGUCAGGACUCUGUCACAUGGCCAUCUAACUGCAAGUGAAGAUAAGAAAACUCAGGGAAAGUGCUUGGCUGGAUGACCCACAGCUGGUGAGCAGCAGGGGAUGGAAUGAAUGCAGCCCAUCUCAGCGGUGCAAGCACUGUGCCUCUAUGUCUGACCUCACAAGGACACCAGUUUCUACAUCUGCACUUUCCCUGUAUGUUGCUUUAGGUGGACUUGUAGGAGAGAAAAUGUUUUUACAUAGUACCAGAUCCUAAGAGCUAAGCCUUUUCUAUUGUUGAAUACCUUUGGAUGUGAGUUCAUCUUGCCAGUCACUGGAGGAACCCAUGUGUAUCACAAGGCCAAACUCACUGCUUUUGUUAAAGCUACACUGCUUGGAGAAUAAGAAUGUAUAACAAUGGAAAAGUCUGUCUGGCACUGGGCAGAGAAUGGUCUAGAAGAGUUUGAGAAAUAAAUAGAUAAACAAAUAUAAAGAUAGUCAAUAUCUUCUUUUUAGGGAUUUGCAGUGUUUUAAGAAUGAAUGAUCUUAUUUAGAAUGACAUGGUCAGAAAUGUGGCAAAUGUGAUUCCAGGUGAAAGAAUUUAGCUUGUCAUCAGUAUUUACAACUGCCAUGGCCUGAUCAUGUCCUCAUCUCAACUUCAUACAUGGGAGUUCCAGCCCUGAUAUUGCAGAAAGCGACCUUACAUGGAAGAAUGAUCAUUGCACACAUAAUUAUACAAGACGAGGGUGGUUCCAAUCCAAUAUGUUUAGCUCUCUUAUAAAAAAGGAAACUGAGGCACAGACAGGCAUACAGGGAAGAUGAUGUGUGGCAACACAGGGAGAAGAUGGCCAUGGACAAGCUGAGGAGUGAGACCUAAAAUCAAAGCUUCCCUCAUAGCCCUCAAGAAGAACCAAGCAGCAGCAAACACAUGUGGCAGCUGUUACGAGUGAAAAUUCCCAGUAGGAUUUUGCAAGACGUCAUACCUGUACCAGGGCUGUCCAGCUAUUCUAGCCAGAAAAAAUCCUAGGAUGUAACCAGCUAUAGGAUAUAGUGUGCCUAUCACCCACAGUUUGGGUUCGAUGAUCCAGGC